UCCUGACUCAGGGAGGUACUUUAACUGAAAUAACAGGCUCGGCUCUAUGAGCUUGAGUAUAUAAUGAAGUGAAUUUAAUCCACUCUCACAAUCCUAUUUUAGGGCAAGUCUGGUGCCAUCCCCCGCGGUAAUUCCAGCUCUAAUAGCGUAUAUUAACGAUGUUGAUGUUAAAAAGCUCUUACUUGAAAGUCCGGCCUUCGGGUCUGUCUGGGAGGCUGUUGGAUUGGGUAAAACCAUUCUUUCAGUUGAAUAGACUUUUACUGUGAACAAAAUAGAGUGCUCAAAGCAAGCGUUAGCUUGAAUAUCUUAGCAUGGAAUAAUAGAAUAUGACUUUAUUCACUAUGUUGGUUUUUGAAUACAGUAAUGGUUAACUGGAACAGUUGGGGGCAUUUGUAUUUAAUAUUCAGAGGUGAAAUUCUUACAUUUAUUAAAGACAAACUAAUGCGAAGGCAU
RNAcentral lists this ribosomal RNA (453 nucleotides) under uncultured ciliate. Its description in RNAcentral is "bacterial SSU rRNA". It matches the Rfam family "Eukaryotic small subunit ribosomal RNA", at positions 449 to 954 of the family's 1831-position model. Lineage: Eukaryota; Ciliophora. The record is from RNAcentral.